RNAcentral lists this ribosomal RNA (253 nucleotides) under uncultured bacterium. RNAcentral describes it as "partial 16S ribosomal RNA". It matches the Rfam family "Bacterial small subunit ribosomal RNA", at positions 524 to 776 of the family's 1533-position model. The record is from RNAcentral.
UACAGAGGUCUCAAGCGUUGUUCGGAUUCAUUGGGCGUAAAGGGUGCGUAGGCGGCGCGGUAAGUCGGGUGUGAAAUCUCGGAGCUUAACUCCGAAACUGCAUUCGAUACUGCCGUGCUUGAGGACUGGAGAGGAGACUGGAAUUUACGGUGUAGCGGUGAAAUGCGUAGAUAUCUGGAGGAACACCGGUGGCGAAGGCGGCAUCCUGGACCGGCAUUGACGCUGAGGAGCGAAAGCGUGGGGAGCAAACAGG